GAAUCCAAGUAUAAAUGAAUGCUGUUAAGAUCAAGAAACUGGAGUUUAUGGAAAGAAUCAAUCAACUGUAAGGUAUAUGCCAUAACAGACGUUAUUUGGGGUUGGUCAACUGGUUACGGUCUGAAAGAAGAGUGAUUGAUAACUGGUUGAGGUAUCGAGGGUAUAUUCUUGAAAUGAAAUUAGGUUCUUAUGGUAAUCAUUUGGAAGUUUUAAAGAUUGAAGGUUUACAAUUGAAAUAAGUUUCGUAGCAGGUAUCAAAGAAUCGGUCAAAGGUUCAAGAUUCAAUAAGGUAAGUAAUCCAUAAUAUAGUUCAAGAAAUAUGGUUGAAGGUUCAAGAAUCAAUAGGAUAAAUAAUCCAUGCUAUAAUUCAAUAGGUCACAGGACUUCAUCAGAAAGUUCACUAAAUAAUCACAACAGAUACAACAUAUAAUUGAAG
This 436-nucleotide long non-coding RNA is filed under the name Daucus carota (carrot). Its description in RNAcentral is "long non-coding RNA (DCAR_LNC001211)". Lineage: Eukaryota; Viridiplantae; Streptophyta; Magnoliopsida; Apiales; Apiaceae. The record is from RNAcentral.